GACGAACGCUGGCGGCGUGCUUAACACAUGCAAGUCGAACGGAAAGGCCUGCUUUCCCUUGUGGAUUGCGGGUACUCGCGUGGCGAACGGGUGAGUAACACGUGAGUGAUCUGCCCCCAACUUGGGUAUAAGCCUGGGAAACUGGGUCUAAUUCCCGAUAGGACUGCAGGGUGGUGCCUGUGGUGGAAAACGAUUUUCUAGUGGUUGGGGAUGAGCUCGCGGCCUAUCAGCUUGUUGGUGGGGUAAUGGCCUACCAAGGCGGCGACGGGUAGCCGGCCUGAGAGGGUGGACGGCCAAAUUGAGACUGAGAUACGGCCCAGACUCCUACGCGAGGCAGCAGUGGGGAAUAUAGCACAAUGGGCGGAAGCCUGAUGCAGCGACGCCGCGUGGGGGAUGACGGCCUUCGGGUUGCAAACUCCUUUCGACCGCGAGGAAGCCACCUGGUUGGAAGGGUGGUGACGGUAGUGGUAGAAGAAGCACCGGCUAACUACGU
This 493-nucleotide ribosomal RNA is filed under the name uncultured bacterium. RNAcentral's name for it is "partial 16S ribosomal RNA". It matches the Rfam family "Bacterial small subunit ribosomal RNA", at positions 28 to 506 of the family's 1533-position model. The record is from RNAcentral.